UGGUAGAUGUGAGAAUGUGGGGGUACGAAUGUGGGGGUGUUUCUGAAUGGUAAUUUUUGUUGAACAUUGUGUUGUGUUGGGGCUACCAACCCUUAACUGUUUUGGAGUUUAAAUUGGAAGUGCCCUUCUGGUACGAGGCCUGACCGGAGGCUUUUAAUCUGGUACCACGGGUAACCAGGAGCCCACGGAACUUGUUCCGUCCUGGUUAGUUGGUGAGGCCCUUCGGGGAGUAUCGUGGUGGUUGUGGCUUGACACCCAAAUGCGGGUAGAGCAUCGCUCGACGUGGAGUUGCGUCAUACAACCGGGUUCCGUGACCCAGAUUACGGAAGAGGCUUAGAUAGUCCUCGUGCCAAACCAAGGUAGAAGUCACAACCAAACAGUCGUGUCUUUAAUUGGUACCUGCGGAAUUGUUCCAAGGGGGCGGUGAUUGACGCUUGAAUUAAUCCUAUACUAGGAACCGUGAGAUUAAGCCAUCGCGGCAGGUGCUCACGUUAAGCCCACUGACUUUCAUGUCCCUAUCUACUAUCUAGCGAAACCACAGCCAAGGGAACGGGCUUGGAAUAAUUAGCGGGGAAAGAAGACCCUUUUGAGCUUGACUCUAAUCUGGCAGUGUAAGGAGACAUAAGAGGUGUAGAUAAGUGGGAGAUAUUAGACUUCGGUUUGGUAUCGACAAUGAAAUACCACUACUCUUAUUGUUUCCUUACUUAGUUGAUUAAAUGGAACAUGUAUCAUUUCCUAGCCAUUAUACGGAUAUAAUUAUUAUGUCUUAUGGUAUUGGGUUUUGAUGCAAGCUUAUUGAUCAAAGUAUCACGAGUUUGUUAUAUAAUCGCAAACAAAUUCUUUAAUGAGAGAAUGCAAUUAUGUAUUAUUGAUUUAAAAAUUUGGUAUAACUCCAAUUACUCAGGUAUGAUCCAAUUCAAGGACAUUGCCAGGUAGGGAGUUUGACUGGGGCGGUACAUCUCUCAAAUAAUAAUGGAGGUGUCCCAAGGCCAGCUCAGUGCGGACAGAAACCACACAUAGAGCAAAAGGGCAAAUGCUGACUUGAUCUCGGUGUUCAGUACACACAGGGACAGCAAAAGCUCGGCCUAUAGAUCCUUUUGGUUUAAAGAAUUUUUAACAAGAAGGUGUC
Molecule: non-coding RNA, 1129 nt
Filed under: Drosophila virilis
Lineage: Eukaryota; Metazoa; Arthropoda; Insecta; Diptera; Drosophilidae
Description: Eukaryotic large subunit ribosomal RNA
Rfam family: Eukaryotic large subunit ribosomal RNA
Source: Rfam by way of RNAcentral